UUCACCCCCGUGGGAGAGCUUCGCGGCUAGCGGGUCUAGUUUGGCGAAGCGCCGAAGGCGCAACCGGCUCGGAAACGCUCAGGCCCCCGGACCGCGGGCGGACG
This 104-nucleotide non-coding RNA is filed under the name gamma proteobacterium HTCC5015. RNAcentral describes it as "Glycine riboswitch aptamer". It matches the Rfam family "Glycine riboswitch aptamer". From Rfam's summary of the family: This family represents the bacterial glycine riboswitch. Glycine riboswitches usually consist of two metabolite-binding aptamers domains with similar structures in tandem. The aptamers cooperatively bind glycine to regulate the expression of downstream genes. The record is from Rfam by way of RNAcentral. RNAcentral also lists the same sequence under 1 other name. Lineage: Bacteria; Pseudomonadati; Pseudomonadota; Gammaproteobacteria.